This 226-nucleotide long non-coding RNA is filed under the name Ananas comosus (pineapple). RNAcentral's name for it is "long non-coding RNA (ACOM_LNC010232)". Lineage: Eukaryota; Viridiplantae; Streptophyta; Magnoliopsida; Poales; Bromeliaceae. The record is from RNAcentral.
GUGAGAUCUUGGACCUAGGACUAUAGAUUGUCGCAGGUGACUUUCCGUUGAUGGAGGUUUUGGCAGUUUGUGUGGUUACUGGUGGGAGACUGUGGUCUCCGAAGCGAGUGUUUUUGACUCAGGUUUUAGAACAGUGUUUCAUUUUCGCUCGUGGUGAGCAGGUCGACGUUGUUGGCUGGUCAGAGUAUUUCGUUUCAGUCUACGUAAAUAGACUCCAGACUAGUGG